Molecule: non-coding RNA, 90 nt
Organism: Lentinula boryana
Lineage: Eukaryota; Fungi; Basidiomycota; Agaricomycetes; Agaricales; Omphalotaceae
Source: the annotation of a GenBank genome assembly
GGGCAUGUAGCGUAGGGGUUAUCGCGUUCGCUUUGCAUGAGAAUUAAUCGGUAUUGCGAAAGGUCUCCGGUUCAAAUCCGGACUUGUCCA